Molecule: ribosomal RNA, 411 nt
Filed under: Bacillus anthracis (anthrax bacterium)
Lineage: Bacteria; Bacillati; Bacillota; Bacilli; Caryophanales; Bacillaceae
Also listed under: 3 other names
Description: bacterial SSU rRNA
Rfam family: Bacterial small subunit ribosomal RNA
Source: RNAcentral
CAUUAAGUUGGGCACUCUAAGGUGACUGCCGGUGACAAACCGGAGGAAGGUGGGGAUGACGUCAAAUCAUCAUGCCCCUUAUGACCUGGGCUACACACGUGCUACAAUGGACGGUACAAAGAGCUGCAAGACCGCGAGGUGGAGCUAAUCUCAUAAAACCGUUCUCAGUUCGGAUUGUAGGCUGCAACUCGCCUACAUGAAGCUGGAAUCGCUAGUAAUCGCGGAUCAGCAUGCCGCGGUGAAUACGUUCCCGGGCCUUGUACACACCGCCCGUCACACCACGAGAGUUUGUAACACCCGAAGUCGGUGGGGUAACCUUUUUGGAGCCAGCCGCCUAAGGUGGGACAGAUGAUUGGGGUGAAGUCGUAACAAGGUAGCCGUAUCGGAAGGUGCGGCUGGAUCACCUCCUUU